CAGCAGCCGCGGGAAUACCGAGGGUGCGAGCGUUAAUCGGAUUUACUGGGCGUAAAGCGUGCGUAGGCGGCUUCUUAAGUCGGAUGUGAAAUCCCUGAGCUUAACUUAGGAAUUGCAUUCGAUACUGGGAAGCUAGAGUAUGGGAGAGGAUGGUAGAAUUCCAGGUGUAGCGGUGAAAUGCGUAGAGAUCUGGAGGAAUACCGAUGGCGAAGUCAGCCAUCUGGCCUAAUACUGACGCUGAGGUACGAAAGCAUGGGGAGCAAACAGGAUUAGAUACCCGUGUAGUCCCUGUCUCUUAUAC
RNAcentral lists this ribosomal RNA (301 nucleotides) under uncultured bacterium. RNAcentral's name for it is "partial 16S ribosomal RNA". It matches the Rfam family "Bacterial small subunit ribosomal RNA", at positions 509 to 807 of the family's 1533-position model. The record is from RNAcentral.